CAGUCCGGAAACAACCGCGCAGUCGAGAGAACGGAUGAGAAUCGUGCUCGGCAGAUUUCGAGUACCGGGUUCUCUACCUCCUGGAUCCUGCGCUCCGGGUCCGCUUCCUGGUGCAACUCGAGUUCCAAGACAAGCGCCCCGUAGUUCUUGCUGUCCAGGUCCUUGACCUGGUGACUUUUGACCUUCAGGACUAAUUUUCCGUAGUUCUGGCUGUCCAGGUCGUCUACCUGGUGGAUUUUGACAUCCAGAACAAGCGCUCCGUGGUUUUGGCUGUCCAGGUUCUUGACGUGUUGACUUUGGACUUUGAGGACUAAUUUUCAAGUACACAAGUUUGAUUAUUGAGAACGUCAUGAUUUGUACUAUCAAAUCAGUAUGCAUGCUUCAGAUAACAUUUUGAAUCCGAAAAACAACGAAGGACUAGGAUCAACAAAUUGCAAUUGAUUGGCGGUGGUCGGAGGUGGUAAAAGGUGCUGGGAGGUGGUAGGAGGUGGUGGGGGAUAGUAGGAAGUGGUAGGGGUCGUUGGAGGUGGUCGGAGGUAGACGAGGAAGAGUACGAGGACUUGUGCUCGUUAUAACCCGAGGUGGUUAGCAGUGGUCGUC
This is a long non-coding RNA of Neodiprion virginianus, 600 nucleotides long. RefSeq lists it as uncharacterized. The transcript has 3 exons. NCBI's taxonomy places the organism in Eukaryota, Metazoa, Arthropoda, Insecta, Hymenoptera, Diprionidae. The record is from RefSeq and is a predicted model, not a curated record.